Molecule: long non-coding RNA, 345 nt
Organism: Alligator mississippiensis (American alligator)
Lineage: Eukaryota; Metazoa; Chordata; Crocodylia; Alligatoridae
Exons: 2
Source: RefSeq, a predicted model, not a curated record
CGAAGACCCAGCAGGGGCUUCUGGCCUGGGACCACAUGGCUGCCCUGUGCUGGAACCUCAGUGUUGCUGCUGCUACAGCUGCUGCCAUGUUGUCACAUGGGUUGAUGGUAUUGUGAAAUUGUCUGAACUAAACGUCCAAGAGCUGUGACUGUGCUGAAGGGUGGGCUGGCUGCCUGCUAUGGGGAUUUGGCUGGGGCAAACGUUCAGCUGUUUUGCAACAGGGCAAGAGUUUCCUGUGGCAGGCUCCUGCGGAGAAACCUCAGUACUGACCUUCAUCUGUGUGCUGCCAUUUUGGCUUAGCAUGCCCAUUCUUUCUUUAUAAAGAAAUAAAAAAAAUGGACCCUG